AUUGAACGCUGGCGGCAUGCUUUACACAUGCAAGUCGAACGGUAACAGGCCGCCAGGUGCUGCCGAGUGGCGAACGGGGGAGUAAUGCAUCGGAACGUGCCCAGUCGUGGGGGAUAACUACUCGAAAGAGUAGCUAAUACCGCAUACGAUCUAUGGUUGAAAGCGGGGGACCGUAAGGCCUCGCGCGAUUGGAGCGGCCGAUGUCAGAUUAGGUAGUUGGUGGGGUAAAGGCUGACCAAGCCAACGAUCUGUAGCUGGUCUGAGAGGACAACCAGCCACACUGGGACUGAGACACGGCCCAGACUCCUACGGGAGGCAGCAGUGGGGAAUCUUGGACAAUGGGCGCAAGCCUGAUCCAGCAAUGCCGCGUGCAGGAAGAAGGCCUUCGGGUGGUAAACUGCUUUUGUCCGGAACGAAACGGCGCUGGUUAAUACCCGGGGCUAAUGACGGUACCGGAAGAAUAAGCACCGGCUAACUACGUG
This 482-nucleotide ribosomal RNA is filed under the name uncultured bacterium. Its description in RNAcentral is "partial 16S ribosomal RNA". It matches the Rfam family "Bacterial small subunit ribosomal RNA", at positions 29 to 507 of the family's 1533-position model. The record is from RNAcentral.